AUAUAUAUAUAUAUAUAUUUCAGUAGAAUUCUUCUAGAUUAGAUGGUAUGCUCACCUUCUUAGCCCAGUCCUGCUCAACCUUAGGAAGUUAGAAGGUUUUCACAGUUAUUAAUUGUUCCUAACUGUUAUUUAACUAGAUGAAACCGCAGUAGGCAUUGUGCUGUGAUCUCAAUAAGCAAGGCUUAUAUGACUACGUAGCAUAGUAGAGAGAGAAGCUCAAACUGCGUAGCUUAUGAUAAAAGUGGAAGGAAUAAAUGGCAACGAAAAAAGUGAGUCCAACCAUGUAGAUUGGAUGGCCAUGGUCUGUGGACUGUUGAGUAUGUUGGGCUAUCCUCCUAUUGUGCCUCGCGUGGACCAGGUCAUUAAUGGCAUAUUGAACAUUAAGUACAUCUCUUACAUAAAUGACCAAAAGGUCCCAAACUGAUCGUGGUAUUUCUAUUCCCCAACCAAAACUUACUGUAUAACUAUGAUAAUAUAUCAUGAAAACGUGGUAGGUAGGUAGAUAGGAUGACAGAUUCGCCAUUCUUUCACCUUUUGUUGCAAACUAAAAACUCUUUGAGCUCCACUUAACAAAGCAAAAUGGGCUGGAGCUUCAUCAUGCUAUCUCUCCAUUCUCCACUCCACCUACAAUAUAAGGAUCUCUAAUGGCCCAAUCUUGGACAAAUAGUGUGUCAGAUGAUUGUUGCCUAAUGUCAAAACCCAUUUGUCCAUUUUCUUUAUUUAUUAGACCACUGCAUAGAAAAGCACUCGAGGACUGACAGAGAAAUGAACAAAGAACUUACCUGGGAACCGCCUGAAAAGGCAAG
RNAcentral lists this unclassified non-coding RNA (806 nucleotides) under Hevea brasiliensis (rubber tree). Lineage: Eukaryota; Viridiplantae; Streptophyta; Magnoliopsida; Malpighiales; Euphorbiaceae. The record is from RNAcentral.